This 649-nucleotide ribosomal RNA is filed under the name uncultured bacterium. RNAcentral describes it as "bacterial SSU rRNA". It matches the Rfam family "Bacterial small subunit ribosomal RNA", at positions 740 to 1397 of the family's 1533-position model. The record is from RNAcentral.
CCGACGGUGAGAGAUGAAAGCUAAAGGAGUGAUUAGGAUUAGAUACCCUAGUAAUUUUAGCCGUAAACGAUGGAAACUCACUGCCGAGCGAAAUACAACGAGCGGUGGUCAAGCUAACGCGUGAAGUUUCCCGCCUGGGGAUUACGCUUGCAAAAGUGAAACUCAAAGGAAUUGACGGGGACCCGCACAAGCGGUGGAGUAUGUGGUUUAAUUCGAUGCAACGCGAAAAACCUUACCAGGGUUUGAAAUCAUUUCAAAACUCCUUGAAAGAGGAGCCUCCUUCGGGAUGAAAUGACAGGUGGUGCAUGGCUGUCGUCAGCUCGUGUUGUGAAAUGUCGAGUUAAGUCUCGUAACGAGCGCAACCCAUGUCUCUUGUUGCUCUUUGAGUGCUUAAGAGAGACUGCCGACCAACAUCGGAGGAAGGUGUGGAUGAUGUCAAGUCAGCAUGCCCCUUACAUCCUGGGCUACACACGUACUACAAUGGGAGGGACAAUGAGCUGCAAACCUGCGAAGGCUAGCCAAUCUCAAAAACCCUCUCUCAGUUCGGAUUGCACUCUGCAACUCGAGUGCAUGAAGGUGGAAUCGCUAGUAAUCGCUGGUCAGCUAUACAGCGGUGAAUACGUUCCCGGGUCUUGCACACACCGCCCGU